UACGUAGGGGCCGAGCGUUGUCCGGAGUUAUUGGGCGUAAAGCGCGCGCAGGCGGCUUGGCGCGCCCGACGUGAAAGCCCCCGGCUUAACCGGGGAGGGUCGUCGGGUACGGUCAGGCUUGAGGGCGGGAGAGGGUGGUGGAAUUCCCGGUGUAGUGGUGAAAUGCGUAGAGAUCGGGAGGAACACCGGUGGCGAAGGCGGGAUCCUGGGCCAGUACUGACGCUGAGGAGCGAAAGCGUGGGGAGCAAACAGG
RNAcentral lists this ribosomal RNA (253 nucleotides) under uncultured bacterium. RNAcentral's name for it is "partial 16S ribosomal RNA". It matches the Rfam family "Bacterial small subunit ribosomal RNA", at positions 524 to 776 of the family's 1533-position model. The record is from RNAcentral.